CCUACGGGGGGCUGCAGUGGGGAAUAUUGGACAAUGGGCGAAAGCCUGAUCCAGCCAUGCCGCGUGUGUGAAGAAGGCCUUCGGGUUGUAAAGCACUUUCAGUGGGGAAGAAAGCCUUGGGGCUAAUACCCUCGAGGAAGGACAUCACCCACAGAAGAAGCACCGGCUAACUCCGUGCCAGCAGCCGCGGUAAUACGGAGGGUGCGAGCGUUAAUCGGAACUACUGGGCGUAAAGCGCGCGUAGGCGGUCUGAUAAGCCGGUUGUGAAAGCCCCGGGCUCAACCUGGGAACGGCAUCCGGAACUGUCAGGCUAGAGUGCAGGAGAGGAAGGUAGAAUUCCCGGUGUAGCGGUGAAAUGCGUAGAGAUCGGGAGGAAUACCAGUGGCGAAGGCGGCCUUCUGGACUGACACUGACGCUGAGGUGCGAAAGCGUGGGUAGCAAACAGGAUUAGAUACCCUUGUAGUC
RNAcentral lists this ribosomal RNA (465 nucleotides) under Vreelandella stevensii. Its description in RNAcentral is "partial 16S ribosomal RNA". It matches the Rfam family "Bacterial small subunit ribosomal RNA", at positions 338 to 795 of the family's 1533-position model. The record is from RNAcentral. Lineage: Bacteria; Pseudomonadati; Pseudomonadota; Gammaproteobacteria; Oceanospirillales; Halomonadaceae.